CACCGGCGGCCCGAGUGGUGGCCACUAUUAUUGGGUCUAAAGGGUCCGUAGCCGGUUUGGUCAGUCUUCCGGGAAAUCUGACGGCUCAACCGUUAGGCUUUCGGGGGAUACUACCAGGCUUGGGACCGGGAGAGGUAAGAGGUACUACGGGGGUAGGAGUGAAAUCUUGUAAUCCCUGUGGGACCACCAGUGGCGAAGGCGUCUUACCAGAACGGGUCCGACGGUGAGGGACGAAAGCUGGGGGCACGAACCGGAUUAGAUACCCGGGUAGUCCCAGCUGUAAACUAUGCUCGCUAGGUGUCAGGGACGGUGCGACCGUUUCUGGUGCCGCAGGGAAGCCGUGAAGCGAGCCACCUGGGAAGUACGGUCGCAAGGCUGAAACUUAAAGGAAUUGGCGGGGGAGCACUACAACGGGUGGAGCCUGCGGUUUAAUUGGACUCAACGCCGGAAAACUCACCGGGGGCGACAGCAAUAUGUAGGUCAAGCUAAAGACUUUACCAGAAUCGCU
Molecule: ribosomal RNA, 508 nt
Filed under: uncultured archaeon
Lineage: Archaea
Description: bacterial SSU rRNA
Rfam family: Archaeal small subunit ribosomal RNA
Source: RNAcentral